Molecule: long non-coding RNA, 325 nt
Organism: Bubalus bubalis (water buffalo)
Lineage: Eukaryota; Metazoa; Chordata; Mammalia; Artiodactyla; Bovidae
Exons: 3
Source: RefSeq, a predicted model, not a curated record
GAGAGAGUGGAGUGAGAGGGUGGAUGGAAAAGGGAGUCACCAGGGUAGGCAGAGUUGGGGGAUUAUUGGCACUCCUGAGACUGUGUAGCCGCCCCCUCCUUUCUUCAGGUCGCCUGUUCCUGGCAUCAAUCCUGGCCAAGAACACCACAAUCUGGCCCCAGCUGCAGGGAGCUACUUCCUCCACAAGCCUGGAUACUUCUCUGGAUCUCCCAAGUCGCCUGGGCCCAAGGGGUGGAACUUGAAAGGACAGCCGGAGCUCGUUGGUGUGGCUGCCAGCGGGCUGACACAGGAUUGGCGGGCCAGGCCAGGCCCCGGAAAGAUGGUU